This 1913-nucleotide long non-coding RNA is filed under the name Homo sapiens (human). Its description in RNAcentral is "HSALNT0230770". Lineage: Eukaryota; Metazoa; Chordata; Mammalia; Primates; Hominidae. The record is from RNAcentral.
GCCAGAGAGGGGCCUGGGUGUGGAUCCCAACAGUGGCCACAAGAAGGAGUGCCAGGGUGUAUCCUGGCUUGGGCAGGGGCCCCAGAAGUUAAGAGUAAUCGCUUUGGAGCCAGAAGUGAUGGAUUCAAGCUCCCAGCACUGCCACCAGCUAGCUAGGAAACCUGGCGGGGGCGAGGGGGUGUCCCAUAACUGCUGGCACCUCAAUUUUCUCAGCCGUAAGAUGGGGCCAUGGACGUGUUAAUAACUACCCUUUAUUGAGAACUCCACACUCCAUGUGCGGUGCUGUCAGAGGGAGGCAUCACUCAACCCAGAGCCUAUGCUCCUAAGGACCAGUGGAGACCAGCCUUGGAGGGCAUCUGCAGCCUGAAAGGGACAGCGGAGUCCAGAGCAGGAGGCAGGGUGACAGCCGCUUCUCCCCUCCCCGCUAAGUGACCAUGCAGACAGCACUGUGCCUUCACUUCCUCACCGAGACUCUCUCUCUGUCACCCAGGCUGGAGUGCAGUGCUGCAAUCACAGCUCAUUACAGCCUCAAAUUCCUGUGCUCAAGCAAUCCUCCUGCCUCAGCCUCCUGGGAAGGGGGCAUUACAGCAGCCUGAGAAAAUUAAUACCCGUUCUGAAGAGUGGAAAGAAAAAUACAGAAAGAAAGAAAAAUGAACAGAAACUGAGGGAGCUGUGGAACACCAUCAACAAUACCAGCAUACAAACCACAGUAAUCCAGGUAGGAGAAUAGAGAGAAAAGGUGGCAGAAAAAAACAUUCAAAGAAAGAGUGGCCAAAUUUUUCUCAAAUGUGAUGAAAUGCAUCCAUAUACAUAUCCAACAAGCUCAAUAAACCCCAAGUAGGUUAAACUCAAAAUAUCCACAUCAAGACACAUUACAACCAAACUACUGAAACACAAAGGCAAAGAGAACUUUGAAAACAGCAAGGGAAAAGCUAUUUGGGUCACAUAUAAGAGAUCUUCAAUAAGAUUAAUAGCUGAUUUCUCAUCAGAAAUUAUGGAGGCCAGAAGGCAGUGGGAUGAUAUUUAACAUGCUGAAAGAAACUGUCAACCAAGAGUUCUGUAUCCAGCAAAACUAUCUUUCAGCCUGGCCAACAUGGUGAAACCCCAUCUCUACUAAAAAAUACAAAAAUUACUUGGGUGUGGUUGUGCACACCUGUAAUCACAGCCACUCUGGAGGCUGAGGCACAAGAAGCACUUGAACCCAGGAGGUGAAGGUUGCAGUGAGAUGAGAUCAUGCCACUGCACUCCAGCCUGGGCAACAGAGUGAGAUUCUGUCUAAAAAAAAAAAAGAAGAAUGAAUGAAUGAAGGGAAAAUUAAGACAUUUCCAUAUAAACAAAACCUGAGGAAGUUCAUUACCAGUGGAUCUUCCCUACAAGAAUUACCAAAAUAAGUCCUUCAGUCUGAAACAAAAGGACACUAGCUAUUAACUCAAAGCCAUAAGAAGAAAUAAAGAACACUGGUAAAGGCAACUACAUAGGUAAAUAUAAAGUCAGUAUUAUUGUUCUUUGGGUUUGUAACUUCUCUUUUUUUUCUAUGUGAUAUAAAAGGCAAAUGCAUAAAACAAUUAUAAGUCUAUGUUAAUGAACACACGUGUAAAAAUGUGAUUUGUGACAAUUACAAAACAAAGAAAGAAGAACAGAGAUGUAUAGGAGUAGAGUAUGUAUACACCUUUGAAACUACAUUGGUACUUUUGCAAACUAGGUUGUUAUAAGUUUAAGAUGUUAACUGUAAUCUCCCAAAGUAGCUAUUAAGAAAAUAAAAUUAAAAUUCACAGAAAAGGAAAGAAAGGAACCAAAAUGGUACACUAAAAAAAAUCGACUAAAUACCAAAAAAAGCAGUAAGGGAGAAAUAGAGGAACAAAAAAUAUAUAAUACAUAUAGAAAAAAAAAGCAAAAUGGUAGAAGUAAACCCC